RNAcentral lists this transfer RNA (73 nucleotides) under Apaloderma vittatum (bar-tailed trogon). It matches the Rfam family "tRNA". Rfam says of the family: Transfer RNA (tRNA) molecules are approximately 80 nucleotides in length. Their secondary structure includes four short double-helical elements and three loops (D, anti-codon, and T loops). Lineage: Eukaryota; Metazoa; Chordata; Aves; Trogoniformes; Trogonidae. The record is from Rfam by way of RNAcentral.
GGCCAGUUAGCUUAGUCAGUUGAGCAUAGCACUAACAGUGCUAAGGUGGCAGGUUCGAUUCCCGCUCGAUCCC